RNAcentral lists this ribosomal RNA (464 nucleotides) under Streptococcus australis. Its description in RNAcentral is "bacterial SSU rRNA". It matches the Rfam family "Bacterial small subunit ribosomal RNA", at positions 28 to 474 of the family's 1533-position model. Lineage: Bacteria; Bacillati; Bacillota; Bacilli; Lactobacillales; Streptococcaceae. The record is from RNAcentral.
GAUGAACGCUGGCGGCGUGCCUAAUACAUGCAAGUAGAACGCUGAAGGAAGGAGCUUGCUCUUUCCGGAUGAGUUGCGAACGGGUGAGUAACGCGUAGGUAACCUGCCUGGUAGUGGGGGAUAACUAUUGGAAACGAUAGCUAAUACCGCAUAACAGUAGAUAUUGCAUGAUAUCUGCUUGAAAGGGGCAAUUGCUCCACUACCAGAUGGACCUGCGUUGUAUUAGCUAGUUGGUGAGGUAACGGCUCACCAAGGCGACGAUACAUAGCCGACCUGAGAGGGUGAUCGGCCACACUGGGACUGAGACACGGCCCAGACUCCUACGGGAGGCAGCAGUAGGGAAUCUUCGGCAAUGGACGGAAGUCUGACCGAGCAACGCCGCGUGAGUGAAGAAGGUUUUCGGAUCGUAAAGCUCUGUUGUAAGAGAAGAACGAGUGUGAGAGUGGAAAGUUCACACUGUGACG